UGGGUCGAUUUUUUUAAUAUAGAUAAGAUGAAUGCGUUUCUGUUGCCAAGUGUUUUUCACAAGUAUAGUAGCAGUAUAGCAGAACGGUUUAAGUUUCCUAUAUACACCAAAUGAUACAUUUUGCCAAUACAAUAACGUAAAUGCAUGCAAAUUUCACAAGGUUUAAUCCAAAUAGCUUUCUUACUAUCCAAUAACUUUCAAGUACGAAAAAGAC
This 214-nucleotide long non-coding RNA is filed under the name Mytilus galloprovincialis (Mediterranean mussel). Lineage: Eukaryota; Metazoa; Mollusca; Bivalvia; Mytilida; Mytilidae. The record is from RNAcentral.